CAUUACGUAGUACGCGCCCGUGGAUUCUUGCAAGUCACGCAGUUUGUGAUAGCGCGUCGCUAGCACGACGGCGGCGCAGGGAUGCGCGCGGAGUUGCGUCCGCGUGCCCCUUCGAUAGACGAUGCGGUUGCGGGCGGUAUUUUGUUUUAUUAUUUUAUUUGUUACAUACUGCAGCCCUCUGAUAUAGCGCUACGGCAGGGGGGAAGAAUUAUACAUUCGUAUAGUCGGUAUCGUAUAAUCCUGAGUGCGAUCAUUUUCCUUCGGGUUUCUCGCGUUUCUCUCUCUCUCUCUCUUUAUUUCUUUUUUUUUUAAAGUCUUGUAGAACAGCAGUUGUGCCGAAUCGUUCAUCUCGGCGAUAACGGCCGUUGCUGUCCAAUGGCGACGGGCGGUGACGUAUACGGCGCACGAAGGAAAGGCGCCUGCAGGCACAGCCGCGCAUGCGUCAACGGCUGAGAAUCGCGCUUAAAUUUGGCUGUAAGAAGCGGCCACCGGGAGUCCCGCUCGUCAUACUGCGUUUCUACGCCGCCCGCGUCAGCUGAACCUCUGCAUCUUGCCGUAUAGUACAUGCUCUGGCAGCCGCCACUGCCGGUGUUAGGCGGUGUCUACGCCCCUUCACCGAACCCGACACAGCCAUGGGUUCCGCCGCUGGCUCCUGCUGUAAGGCGUCCUUCGAAGCUUUCAAGGUCACGCCUGCUCCACUUAUGGACCUGGACUUCUUUCCUGGACUUUCUGCAAGUGCGGUUGCGGGACUCUCUACCGCUCCGGGCUUCUUCCACGGCCCGUUGGAGCUCCCGGAAUACGUAUGCCACGCACGGCGGCAAUUCCGUCCGUUCUCACGCACGAGCUGUCGCGCCUGACGCCAACGACGCCUUGAGCUGUUGCUGCCGAUAAGCUUCGAGUCUCGUUUUCCGCGGUAUUUUCUUUUGUGCGCGUGUUCCCAUGGACCGAGGGUCAACGAAGCAACGGUCGGCGCCAACUACCUUAGGAGCUCUCCAAGCGUCGGUCAAGCUCCUGCAACAAAGUGACCGUGGCUCUACCCUGAGGAACAAAGGAGCAACUGUCGUCGCUGCGAGUCUUCGGCAUCUAACCCACGAGGUGGGACAGUGUGUGUAUAGCUUGUGAGGGCGGCUCGGCUAUUAACUUCAUCAAAAAAUUGAUUGGCAAUAUUGGCAAAAUAGGUGCAGUUAACUGUGGUGCUUCAUUGGGCACGAGCUUUCCUAGGACGGCCGCAGCCACGUCGGGUCGUCGACGUGACGGAAUCGGAGAGGACAUGGUGGGGCGAUUGUAGCUUCAGGCUGAGCUAACACUAGGCAGGUAGCUGGCGCUGCGCGUAGGCCACAGCUGGCAGGGGUCCUCUCUCGUUUGCGACACGGACGUCGGCCCGUUCCGAGUGCCGUUGCUUCCCGGCCGACAUUUCGCGUCCACGCGCGCGAAAAGGGGCGCGAAAUGUUGAACCGCGGAAGUAACUGGCAUCCGGAAUUGUUGUCAGGGUGUUUAACCAGUGGCGUAUUGCUUCCAGAGCGUCACUGAAGAAUGGACGUUGCCUUCGGUCCGCAGCGCGGCGCGUUGUGGCCAAAGUAUGUGGUGACACUUUUUUUUCCCUCUCCAUUCUUGAUGCCACGCUGUGUUUUUGUCGCUCGACGCGCGGACCGUCAUGUUUGACGACUUUAUCGACCACGCCUCGCGCGCUGACGCUUGUCAUGGUGAGUACCUACUUUCUGGUUGUAUUCCUUAUUUCAAGAGUUGCCCCUUCAGUUUCAGGUAAGCAACCCAGGCGUUCGCGUCUGGCGCAGUCCAGCAACGUCCCCUGGCGUGUCCCCGACGUAUGAUGUUCCGCGGCUCACCCCCUGUGUUCUUCAGCCUCAUAGCCACUGGUUUCCUGGCGAAUGAAGAAGCCUGCACUUCCCGCCCUGCAGGACAUCGACUGCGCCCUCUCGCAACGGAUUUUCCUGUGCCCUGCAAUGUCUCAGAUGGACGGCGCUGCGCGGCUCACCUUCUGUGCACUUCAGCUCCAGCCUCGCAGCCACUGCUUUCCUGGCGAAUGAAGAAGCCUGCACUACCCGCCCUGCAGGACAUCGACUGCGCCCUCUCGCAACGGAUUUUCCUGUGCCCUGCAAUGUCCCAGAUGGACGGCGCUGCGCGGCUCACCUUCUGUGCACUUCGGCUCCAGCCUCGCAGCCACUGCUUUCCUGGCGAAUGAAGCCUGCACUACCCGCCCUGCAGGACAUCGACUGCGCCCUCUCGCAACGGAUUUUCCUGUGCCCUGCAAUGUCCCAGAUGGACGGCGCUGCGCGGCUCACCUUCUGUGCACUUCGGCUCCAGCCUCGCAGCCACUGCUUUCCUGGCGAAUGAAGCCUGCACUACCCGCCCUGCAGUACAUCGACUGCGCGUAACCUCUCGCAACGGAUUUUCCUGUGCCCUGCCGUGUCCCAGAUGGACGACGUUACGCCGCUCACAUUCUGUGCACUUCAGCUCCAGCGUCGCAGCCACUACUUUCCUGGCGAAUGAAGCCUGCACUACCCGCCCUGCAGUAAGUGAGACCAUAAACGUGCCCCCUUCACCUGCCCCCCGUCAAGAUCUGACGUCUGCGCAGUAGGCGAUGACAUCUAGUGCUGGCCCUACUACGGCAGGCCUUGCUUUUGUGGCUGUUCAUCACACUGCUACGUCCAACGACGUUCAGCUGCAGCAAUAGACCUUCCCCACGUGCUCCGUGCUGCCUUGAGGGUGGUGCACUACUACGGAGUGAUGACUCGAACAGCGACCUCGACAUCCCUGCAAGUUCUUUCCGCCCUGCAGCUGCUUCACGGCCGCUCGAUGAAGACGCAAAUUGAGAGUUCGUGGCUGUUUGACAAGUGCGUCAAUUACCGCUAUCUUGCUGGCCCAUGUGUGGUACGCUGAUCAGUCUAGCAUUGGGUUGUUCGGGGGGGAUUCUGGCUCGUGCACGUUAAUUCAUAUCAUGUGCUCUCGUAAUGGUACCCUGAUGCUGGUUAGUGUUGCGAAGUAGCGCGCGCGUAUGUGUGCGUAUGAGCAUGCGUGUGCGAGUACGUGUUGCUGCAUGUGUGUUGUCUGUUGUACGCGCGUGCUACUUCUCCUAUUCCAUCUUGUAGUUGGCUUCAUUUUAGUUCGGGUGUGUUCUCAUUUCUUCCAUGCAGUUUGUAGUGGCUGACCUCGUUGAAUCGGUUAAUUCCUUCACAAAGCUCGUUGAUGGUUCCGCAGUGAUGGUCGCGAGUGUUCUCCAAAACGCUUCCAAAUUUGUCGCUGGGCAUUCCCCUUACUUGAAGGGUGUCCAGUGGUCCACUCGUAGAUUUGUCCAGGGCCCUUGUCAAAUUACUUUCCACUCGACGGGAUCUCUGUUGGUAGCUUUUCCUUGUCCACUUCUUUGUCAAGUGAUUCAUCAUGGCUAAUACGACACAUCAGCGUACCAUUACAAGUACAUGGGGUGAAUUAAAGGCAAAGCAUCUACGUUAGCUAGUGACGGUUAAAACUACGUGAGCUUAUCCUUUAUCUGUUGCUGGCAUGGCACCAUGCUCAUUUUAAGAACCUGUCUGCUGUAAUUAAUCACGUGAGCGGUAAAGCUGCGUACCACUCCACAGCGAAGCAAAGCAGCUCCUGAAUCUCCCUUUAGCAACAUUGGACAUUCAUAAGAUAGCACCACCACAGAUGCCUGCGGUGUUAGGUCUUCGGCAGACUGUUUCAUCACCUGUCUUUUUGGGCUUGAGUGUUCACUGCCCUGUGCAAAUUUAACUGCUUGCAUUCAGUUGUUGUACUUCUCUAUAACUUGUAUUUUCUGAACCAAGUUUCUUGGAACUCGAUAAAGUAGCUAAAGUAUUUUUUUACAUAGCACUAUUUUCCCAUGCGCAGCAUUGUACAGUUGUGACAGAUUUGACUUUGUACUGCAUCUUCUUGUCCACACUUCGGUGUUCACCGGUGUUAGAUGCCAACUGAAAUAAAAUUUUAGACUUAUUUCCAG
Non-coding RNA from Dermacentor andersoni, 3970 nucleotides. NCBI's taxonomy places the organism in Eukaryota, Metazoa, Arthropoda, Arachnida, Ixodida, Ixodidae. The record is from RefSeq and is a predicted model, not a curated record.